GAGACACGCUGGCGGCGUGCUUAACACAUGCAAGUCGAACGGUUGACGAGGAGCUUGCUCCUCUGAUCAGUGGCGAACGGGUGAGUAACACGUGAGCAACCUGCCCCAGACUCUGGGAUAACAGUUGGAAACAGCUGCUAAUACCGGAUACGAGACGGAGAGGCAUCUCUACCGUCUGGAAAGUUUUUCGGUCUGGGAUGGACUCGCGGCCUAUCAGCUAGUUGGUGAGGUAAUGGCUCACCAAGGCGACGACGGGUAGCCGGCCUGAGAGGGCGACCGGCCACACUGGGACUGAGACACGGCCCAGACUCCUACGGGAGGCAGCAGUGGGGAAUAUUGCACAAUGGGCGAAAGCCUGAUGCAGCGACGCCGCGUGAGGGAUGACGGCCUUCGGGUUGUAAACCUCUUUCAGCAGGGAAGAAGCGAAAGUGACGGUACCUGCAGAAGAAGCACCGGCUAACUACGUG
Molecule: ribosomal RNA, 467 nt
Filed under: uncultured bacterium
Lineage: Bacteria
Description: bacterial SSU rRNA
Rfam family: Bacterial small subunit ribosomal RNA
Source: RNAcentral